UUUUCAAUUCUAUGGUCCUAGCUAGUUUGUUCGCUUUGGCAAAUUGCAGGUGUCGGCAUAGUGAAUCAAUAUUACGCAGUACACAAGCUGGCUCAUGUGCAUGACUCGGAUGCAGGUCUAUAAAUAGAAGCAAGCCGCUAGAGAAGGUUUGCAGUAUCAACUCUAGAAAAUGAAGGCCAUUUUACUCAUCAUCUGUCUUCUCUUAGCUUCCUCAGUACUUUUUGUUCCUUCUUCAGUUUUAGCUCGAGAAUUGAAAGUCGAGCAAGCUGAGGCUCCGUACCGUAGAAGUAUAAAGCCGACGCCAGCACCAUGUGGUCGUGGUAAGAGGUAUACGCCAUGUUUACCAAAAAAACCCCCGCCACCUGCUAGAUCUUGUGGCGCCUAUAAGCGUAAAUGCCCCCCGCCUCCUUGACAUCAGAAGCGCCAUGAAGUGGUACUACUGGUUCGGCAUAAAAAGCACAAGAUCUUAUAUAAAUAUAUAUAUAUAUACAUUCAUAUGUGUAUGGUUUUCUUGGGGUCUGUGAUGGCUUUACUUCGCAGUAGUACUGUUGUAAUAUGCAUUGAUCAGAAACUAGUGGACGCUACUCUCUCGUACUUGUAUUAAAAAUAAAUGAACUCCAAGCUGGAGUCCUGUACGUACGUACAGUUUGAUGUAAUGUAUUAUAUAUGUGGGCAACUUGAAUGGGUAAUAUAAUAUAAUCUUCUUAUUAUCCUCCCAAUUAACUUUA
This is a long non-coding RNA of Carya illinoinensis, 728 nucleotides long. RefSeq lists it as uncharacterized. Lineage: Eukaryota; Viridiplantae; Streptophyta; Magnoliopsida; Fagales; Juglandaceae. The record is from RefSeq and is a predicted model, not a curated record. The transcript has 2 exons.